RNAcentral lists this ribosomal RNA (253 nucleotides) under uncultured bacterium. RNAcentral describes it as "partial 16S ribosomal RNA". It matches the Rfam family "Bacterial small subunit ribosomal RNA", at positions 524 to 776 of the family's 1533-position model. The record is from RNAcentral.
UACGGAGGAUUCGAGCGUUAUCCGGAUUUAUUGGGUUUAAAGGGUGCGUAGGCGGACUGGUAAGUCAGCUGUGAAAGUUUACGGCUCAACCGUGAAAUUGCAGUUGAUACUGUUGGUCUUGAGUAUACAUGAGGUGGGCGGAAUUCCUAGUGUAGCGGUAAAAUGCGUAGAUAUUAGGAGGAACACCAGUGGCGAAGGCGGCUUUCUGGCUAUUAACUGACGCUGAGGCGCGAAAGCGUGGGGAGCAAACAGG